RNAcentral lists this ribosomal RNA (500 nucleotides) under uncultured bacterium. RNAcentral describes it as "partial 16S ribosomal RNA". It matches the Rfam family "Bacterial small subunit ribosomal RNA", at positions 30 to 523 of the family's 1533-position model. The record is from RNAcentral.
AUUGAACGCUGGCGGCAGGCCUAACACAUGCAAGUCGAGCGGAUGAGUGGAGCUUGCUCCAUGAUUCAGCGGCGGACGGGUGAGUAAUGCCUAGGAAUCUGCCUGGUAGUGGGGGACAACGUUUCGAAAGGAACGCUAAUACCGCAUACGUCCUACGGGAGAACGUGGGGGAUCUUCGGACCUCACGCUAUCAGAUGAGCCUAGGUCGGAUUAGCUAGUUGGUGAGGUAAAGGCUGACCAAGGCGACGAUCCGUAACUGGUCUGAGAGGAUGAUCAGUCACACUGGAACUGAGACACGGUCCAGACUCCUACGGGAGGCAGCAGUGGGGAAUAUUGGACAAUGGGCGAAAGCCUGAUCCAGCCAUGCCGCGUGUGUGAAGAAGGUCUUCGGAUUGUAAAGCACUUUAAGUUGGGAGGAAGGGCAGUAAGUUAAUACCUUGCUGUUUUGACGUUACCAACAGAAUAAGCACCGGUUAACUUCGUGCCAGCCGCCGCAGUAA